RNAcentral lists this non-coding RNA (230 nucleotides) under Candidatus Hodgkinia cicadicola. Lineage: Bacteria; Pseudomonadati; Pseudomonadota; Alphaproteobacteria; Hyphomicrobiales. The record is from RNAcentral.
AGGAAAGUCUAGUCCCUUGUAAGUAAACGCACAGCGUUGUGAACACGGCAACGUUAGCGCUUAGGUAAGUGAGUGAGAUCUGAGUCUAUGCCUCUCGCAGCGAGAACGAAAGCGUUCGCCCCUCCGAAGUUUGCUUGAGGGUAAGAUUAAAUGCGCUGAAUGUCGCUUGAUUUUAUCCAGAAAAAUUGCCGCGGGUGGAUUAUUCAUUCAACUGAACUUAGCUUACCGCU